CCCUGGCUCAGGAUGAACGCUGGCGGCGUGCUUAACACAUGCAAGUCGAACGAUGACCCGGUGCUUGCACCGGUGAUUAGUGGCGAACGGGUGAGUAACACGUGAGUAACCUGCCCUUAACUCUGGGAUAAGCCUGGGAAACUGGGUCUAAUACCGGAUAUGACUCCUCAUCGCAUGGUGGGGGGUGGAAAGCUUUAUUGUGGUUUUGGAUGGACUCGCGGCCUAUCAGCUUGUUGGUGAGGUAAUGGCUCACCAAGGCGACGACGGGUAGCCGGCCUGAGAGGGUGACCGGCCACACUGGGACUGAGACACGGCCCAGACUCCUACGGGAGGCAGCAGUGGGGAAUAUUGCACAAUGGGCGCAAGCCUGAUGCAGCGACGCCGCGUGAGGGAUGACGGCCUUCGGGUUGUAAACCUCUUUCAGUAGGGAAGAAGCGAAAGUGACGGUACCUGCAGAAGAAGCGCCGGCUAACUA
Molecule: ribosomal RNA, 475 nt
Filed under: Micrococcineae bacterium CL1.115
Lineage: Bacteria; Bacillati; Actinomycetota; Actinomycetes; Micrococcales
Also listed under: 4 other names
Description: bacterial SSU rRNA
Rfam family: Bacterial small subunit ribosomal RNA
Source: RNAcentral